CCGAGGCUUUGCUCUGAGGCAGGCUCCCGCAGCGAUUGCCUAGUGCUUCCCUUCCCACGUCUGCGGCUUGGAUGUUUCAGCCCGAGCCCUCGGCCUGGUUGGUGCUAGCCGGGAGCGUCUCCCUCUGUGCCUGUGAAGGAGAUGAGUUAUGGGAUAUAUGGUUACAUGAGAAGUCAUCUAAAUUUUGUGUUCUAAAGUGAAGUUGAGAGUAUUUCUGAGUGAACCUUGACUACUGUAACUCCUCCUUUAUGACUCUCUCAAGUUCGGUUUGCCAGAAAUAUGGAAGCUGCAAUCCAUCUCCUUGCAUGAAGUUGGUAGAACCUCACAUCCAUUAUCAGAAAUCUUCAUUGGCAGACUGCCCGUAUUGGAGUCCAAAAUAACAUUUCCAUCUUCUCUAUCUUCCAUGGGAUUACUGUCUUCCACUUCAUAUCUCUCUGAUUUCACCUAUUUCUGUUCUGCAACCCGUUCCUUAAUACUUUGCAAACACGAGAUUUCUUCCUACAGGCUCCAUGUGGUAUUAUUUUAAAGUUUCCAUUACUAAGGCUCCAUUUUCCCUGUCCCUUAGCUAGCUGGGAUGCAGAGAGUGGUGUUAAUAUCACCCCUUCAGCAGAGCUACUAUCGCAGUAGAAUUCUAUUUGUUGGUUGCCCUACACAGUGAAAAUAAUUCCAUGCUCAUAAUUGAUGUAAACAGAAUUUGAUAAUAGUUGAACUUGAUAGCCUAUCAGGUCUCUUCCAACCCAGACUUUUGUGAUGCUCCUUUUGAUGAUCAAGCAAAAAAUAAUACAAAAACACUAAUCAAACAUCUAGCAGCUCCCAUCUCAAGCUAGGUGAUAAUAAUAAAUAUUGAGCAAGGAACAUUGAAAAUUAAAUCUUUAUAUAAAACAUAUGUAAUAUAAAUCUACUGAAAAAAUGAGAGCUGAUCUGUUGGCUCUGGUGAGAUCUUGUAGUUGUAUUGAAAAGGAUCAGAAGAAUCUCUUUGAGGUAGCAUCAGAUAUGAUUAAAGACAUGGAAGCAUUCAGAGGAGUCUUGUACAUUCUGAAAUUUAAAAGAGUAAGUUUCUUUAGGGCUAAAUAAUCCUCAGCCCCUAAGCAAAUGUUUGAGGUCAGGAAAGGGAAGUCAAAAUAAGCCUCAUCUUACCAUGCUCCCCUGUUCAAAGACUAGUUCCAAUUGCUGUCCCUUCACUCUGAAGCUCAGAAUCUGCUCCCUCUGUAUGUCCCCAAGCGAGCAUAGUGUCCCAAAAUGGGCAGGGAAGAAGUGGAACAAUGGCACCACCCCACAAGUCAGCUGAACAGGACCCCUGGACAAGUACAUUGCACCACUCAAAGGAAAGGAUGUACAACCUCUGGACCACACUCUCUCUCUCGGCUCUGCAAGGGGUGAAGCACCCCCGCUCCUCCUCCAGUACAGGCCUUUGUGUAAAUCAGCCAGUCUGGCUCCUGGUCAUUAAAAGAGAAUCAUAGCAGUGACAUCAUACAGGUGUACAUAAUUAUGAAUAAAGUAGCUCAGUCAGGUGCUGCUGUUUACUUUUUCCCAUAUGACAAGAGGCCACUCAAGGAAGUUAAGAUAAUACAUUUAAUAUGGAUAAAAGGUAAUGAUUUUUUACACAACAAAAAUUGUACAACUCACUAUCAGAGGCAACAAUUGAACCUCCUCAAUGGUUUUGGUUCACAGCAGUGUUAGAUAUUUAAAGAAUAGAAAAGAAGCUUUGUUACUCUACUCAGGAUGAAAAUUGGAAGGUCUGUCAAUCUUCAUGCUCAAAGGAAUAAACUAGGGUAAAGAAAAAAUAGCACUCAUAACUCAUAAACAUGUAGGAAUUUAGGAUCUCUGCUCUGGAGCACACUGGUCCAUCUAGUCUAAUUUUAUUUGGCCUAUGCUGCACAUAUCAAAGGAAGGCAAACCUUCCUUAGUAUUGCACAAAGUCCAGAAGAAAUGUCUCCUGUGCUCCAGUAUUGCAUAAGGUCAGAAAGAAAUUUUCCCUUUGGUACAAUAUUUCAUAAACUCUGGAAGACAUUUUUCCCAUGCUAUAGUAUUGCAUGAUUGUCAAGAUCCAUGAUGUAACAUAGCACCUUCCUUUGAAGUAUCCAGCAUAAACCACAUGAUGCUGGACUAGAUGGACGAGUCUGUUCCAAUGUGAUGAUAUCUAUAUUUCUAUGUGACUAUCUGAGUUGGUUGUCCCUGUAUUGAUUAUAAAUGAAACAGACUUCAGCACACUUAGAUAAAAGCAAUUAAUUUAAUCAUUUACAACUGAAUUAUGAACUACUGCUUUUUGUAGUGGUCAUGAAGCUUUCUGAUAUAGGUCUCGUACGCCAGAGACAGUUUCCCAAAUGUUGUCACCUCCCUUAAGAUCAAAAUAAGUAACAGGCUUUCCCUAAGUCAUUGGUCCACUUCCUCAGCUAAGGUUCUGGCCUAUGUUUUGAAUGAGGUGGGGUUGGUGUUUGUAGCUAUGUCAGUAUGGAGUAUGGAUUAUGAUUUUGUUUUCUUGAGCCUGCAACAUUAAUUGUCCUAAGGCAGUACUGUCUUUUGGCAUCAUCUGAGACACACUGCACUCUCUCUCAUAUAGACAUUAUUUUUGUUCUUUUUCUGUAGUUUACCUUAAAU
This is a long non-coding RNA of Trachemys scripta elegans, 2598 nucleotides long. RefSeq lists it as uncharacterized. The transcript has 3 exons. Lineage: Eukaryota; Metazoa; Chordata; Testudines; Emydidae. The record is from RefSeq and is a predicted model, not a curated record.